RNAcentral lists this unclassified non-coding RNA (386 nucleotides) under Hevea brasiliensis (rubber tree). Lineage: Eukaryota; Viridiplantae; Streptophyta; Magnoliopsida; Malpighiales; Euphorbiaceae. The record is from RNAcentral.
GAAAAAAUGGGUUAAAAGCUUUGGAAAGCUACUGAAGCGCAAGGGGAAACCUCUCUUUGUACCUCUUCGCGUGUUACUAACCGGAAAGCUGCACGGCCCUGACAUGGGAUCCAGUAUACUAUUGAUAUAUAAAGCUGGAGAUUGCGGUGUGAUCAGUCCGCAGGUCGGUUUUUUAACAUUAGAAGAGCGGUUCAAAAUUCUAAGAGAGCUAGACUGGGACUCGUUGAACAAGGAACCAGAGGCACAAGUCGAAUCUGCUACUGUUGUGUCUGUUUAGAUCAUCAAAUUUAAAGCCCCAGACGGGUGUUGUCUCAGUUGGCUGAUUUUUCUUUUUAUUGAUAUUUUUGUUUGAUCUGAGGAGAUUUCACAGUUUUGUGGUGUUUUUG